CCCGGCGACCGGCGCACGGUGAGUAACACGUAUGCAACCUGGCCGCCACAGGGGGAUAACCCGCGGAAACGCGGCCUAAUACCCCGUGACGCCACCGGAGGGCAUCCUCCGGUGGCCAAAGGAGCGAUCCGGUGGCGGAUGGGCAUGCGGCGCAUUAGCUAGACGGCGGGGUGACGGCCCACCGUGGCGACGAUGCGUAGGGGUUCUGAGAGGAAGGUCCCCCACACUGGUACUGAGACACGGACCAGACUCCUACGGGAGGCAGCAG
This 268-nucleotide ribosomal RNA is filed under the name uncultured bacterium. Its description in RNAcentral is "partial 16S ribosomal RNA". It matches the Rfam family "Bacterial small subunit ribosomal RNA", at positions 87 to 354 of the family's 1533-position model. The record is from RNAcentral.